GAGUAGCUGGGACCACAGGUGUGCACCACCGCACCCAGCUAAGGAUACUGGCAAGGUCAAGACCCUGAAGGGCCAUCUCAUCCAUGAAAAAAAGACUAGUCUCUGGUGCCUGGAAGGAAGCAAAUACAUGUCUCCCUGGAAGGAAACUCCUGCAACCUGAAAGACGGGCUUGUUCUAACGAUGUCCAAGCUCCGCGAGGGAGAGAAACACGUGAGAAAGCAUCACAGGUUGAGGAAUUGUUACAUACAGAGAAGUGCACAGAGCAGAAGGGGAUGGCUAGCAAGUUACCACAACGCCUGGCAGAGAAGCAGAACUCUGGACAUCAACGAGCCCUCCUGGCGCCCCGCCCUGCCCCCCCGGGGCUGCUCUGUUUUUCAUCUGGCCCCCAGAGACCUGGAUACGUUGCACAGAUGCUGACAGCAGGUGGCAGUGUGGAGCAGCGGUGUGACACCUGCAGGGCCCUCCGGGGACACCACAUAAGGGCAGCCACAGUGUCCCGGAGCCCAUGCAGUGUGACAGCCCCAGGUAACUCUCCAGCCAGCACUCCACCCGUGGAAUUACAGCCGACUGAAGCACCUCUGCUACAUUCGUCAGCUUGAUAAAUGUCCAAGGAAUGAACCAAGCACAGGGACCAUCUCUUCCGGUAGCUUCUCACCAUCACACACACUUUGCAGGGCCGAGGGCUCUUCCUGGCCCAUAUCUAGCACCUAGAUAUUUUAUUCACUUAUGUUUUGAAUAUUUCAUGGGUCCUUCUCCCCCAGAGGCCUCAGAGCACUCCCAGAAUUGGAAUGGAAAUACACAGUGUGUCCUUGUCAGCUGUCCGGGCCGCCGCGUUCAAAGGGCAGGACAUAGUAGCUUCUGCUCAAAUUAGAAUGAUCUGUCUCGUCAAGCGGAAGAUGGUUGUUGAGACUUUGUGUCUUUAAAGUAUUGCCUAAAAAAGCAAGAUUAAAUGAACGCA
This 958-nucleotide long non-coding RNA is filed under the name Homo sapiens (human). RNAcentral's name for it is "novel transcript". Lineage: Eukaryota; Metazoa; Chordata; Mammalia; Primates; Hominidae. The record is from RNAcentral.